CAAUGCAAAACCCUGCUGCCUUCCUUCCUUCUCAAACACAAACAGUCUCUGCAAAACCAGACCUGCAUUCUUCUGCUUCCAGCAGGAUCAAACAAUACCUCUUGCUCCCGCCUUCCGGCUUCGCUUCAACUGCCACACAGAUUACAGGUAUCCUUUUCUUUUUCUGCUACGCACAACAGGUUCUAUAUUACACCAGUUAGUUCUUGUGACAAAUAUAGCUGCCUCACAAAACUGAAAUUCCCAUCAACAGGCGCCUCUACCUUGGCAUAUAACUUGCACUACACCGCGAGUUGCUUCCAAACGUACUCAAACUGCCUCAAGCUGUGUCGAAACAGAAAGCAGACUACGUUACAGAGUUUCUGGGGGCGACUGAGUCUGCCCACUUUCAAGUAGCAUGCU
Molecule: long non-coding RNA, 399 nt
Filed under: Setaria italica (foxtail millet)
Lineage: Eukaryota; Viridiplantae; Streptophyta; Magnoliopsida; Poales; Poaceae
Description: long non-coding RNA (SITA_LNC001746)
Source: RNAcentral